RNAcentral lists this ribosomal RNA (253 nucleotides) under uncultured bacterium. Its description in RNAcentral is "partial 16S ribosomal RNA". It matches the Rfam family "Bacterial small subunit ribosomal RNA", at positions 524 to 776 of the family's 1533-position model. The record is from RNAcentral.
UACGUAGGGGGCAAGCGUUGUCCGGAAUCAUUGGGCGUAAAGCGCGUGUAGGCGGCCCGGUAAGUCCGCUGUGAAAGUCGGGGGCUCAACCCUCGGAUGCCGGUGGAUACUGUCGGGCUAGAGUGCGGAAGAGGCGAGUGGAAUUCCUGGUGUAGCGGUGAAAUGCGCAGAUAUCAGGAGGAACACCAAUUGCGAAGGCAGCUCGCUGGGACGUGACUGACACUGAGGCGCGAAAGCGUGGGGAGCGAACAGG